Molecule: long non-coding RNA, 291 nt
Filed under: Elaeis guineensis (African oil palm)
Lineage: Eukaryota; Viridiplantae; Streptophyta; Magnoliopsida; Arecales; Arecaceae
Description: long non-coding RNA (EGUI_LNC036624)
Source: RNAcentral
AGGAUUCAAAGGGACAACUUCGACUGCAAAAAUUUUUCUGUACUUCCUUCAUUCAAAAUUCGAACUCGAAAGUAGGGAGACUGAUGUUGGGUAUAAAAUACCUCUCAGCCGAAGUUCAUGACAGGAGUGACCCUCCGGGGAUCCAACCGACUUCCGACCUCCGACAACGUCUCUUCAAACCUCCCGGACGGUCGAGCCCCCACAACACUCCCAAGUUUUGCUGACGGAUAAGCCCCCACCAGUGUUGAUCAGAUUCUUCACGACGGACAGACUCCACCCAAAUUUCCACGA